CUGGCAAUCUCACAUCAGUGACAACGGUAACUUCAUCUAGAUACAUUAAAGUAUUUUGAGCUGGCUCCUCCUGUGCAUCACCUGCCUGUUCUUCCUCCUCUUCAUUUUGAUCUUCCAUCACGGAAUCACCAUCAUUUUUUGUUGUGGCCACUAAGUUAUUUGAAGAUUCUUCCUGUGCAUCACCUGCGUAUUCCUCCUCCUUUUCAUUUUGAUCUUCCAUCACGGAAUCACCAACAUUUUUUGCUGUGGCCACUAAGUUAUUUGAAGAUUCUUCAAUUUCCUCAUUUGUCUCAUACAUGGAUGUUGGUCCUGCAUCAUAUAAGUCCUCUGCAUCUUUCUCCUUAACAGGAUCUUCCUUUGAAUUAUCUGCAUCUUCCC
RNAcentral lists this long non-coding RNA (378 nucleotides) under Capsicum annuum. RNAcentral describes it as "long non-coding RNA (CANN_LNC002805)". The record is from RNAcentral. Lineage: Eukaryota; Viridiplantae; Streptophyta; Magnoliopsida; Solanales; Solanaceae.